Molecule: ribosomal RNA, 328 nt
Filed under: uncultured bacterium
Lineage: Bacteria
Description: bacterial SSU rRNA
Rfam family: Bacterial small subunit ribosomal RNA
Source: RNAcentral
GACGAACGCUGGCGGCGUGCCUAAUACAUGCAAGUCGAGCGAGCGGAACCAACAGAUUUACUUCGGUAAUGACGUUGGGAAAGCGAGCGGCGGAUGGGUGAGUAACACGUGGGGAACCUGCCCCUAAGUCUGGGAUACCAUUUGGAAACAGGUGCUAAUACCGGAUACGGUGGUCGGGGGACAUCCCCUGGCCAAGAAAGGAUUAUAUCCGCUCUGAGAUGGGCUCGCGUCUGAUUAGCUAGUUGGCGGGGUAACGGCCCACCAAGGCAACGAUCAGUAGCCGGACUGAGAGGUUGAACGGCCACAUUGGGACUGAGACACGGCCCAG